RNAcentral lists this ribosomal RNA (253 nucleotides) under uncultured bacterium. RNAcentral's name for it is "partial 16S ribosomal RNA". It matches the Rfam family "Bacterial small subunit ribosomal RNA", at positions 524 to 776 of the family's 1533-position model. The record is from RNAcentral.
UACGUAGGGGGCAAGCGUUGUCCGGAAUCACUGGGCGUAAAGCGCGCGCAGGCGGCGAUCUACGUCCGGGGUGAAAACCCAGAGCUCAACUCUGGGACUGCCUUGGAUACGGGAUCGCUUGAGGAUCGGAGAGGCAAGGGGAAUUCCACGUGUAGCGGUGAAAUGCGUAGAGAUGUGGAGGAACACCUGUGGCGAAGGCGCCUUGCUGGCCGAUUUCUGACGCUGAGGCGCGAAAGCGUGGGGAGCAAACAGG